GAUGAACGCUGGCGGCGUGCUUAACACAUGCAAGUCGAACGGAAACGCCCUGCUUUUGUGGCUUGCUCGAGUGGCGAACGGGUGCGUAACACGUGAGUAACCUGCCCUUGACUUUGGGAUAACUUCAGGAAACUGCGGCUAUUACAGGAUAGGAGCACCUGAUGCAUGGUGGGCGUCGGAAAGUUUCGGCGGUUGGGGAUGGACUUGCGGCUUAUCAGUUUGUUGGUGAGGUAGUGGCUUACCAGGGCUUUGACGGGUAGCCGGCCUGAGAGGGUGACCGGGCACAUUGGGACUGAGAUACGGGCCGGACCCCUACGGGAGGCAGCAGUGGGGAAGAGUGCACGAUGGGGCGAAGCCGGAUGCAGGAACGCCGCGUGCGGGAUGAUGGCCUGCGGGUAGUAGACCGCUUUCGCCGGUGACUAAGAGUGAGUGACGGUAAUGGAUAAAGAAGCACCGGCUAACUACGUG
RNAcentral lists this ribosomal RNA (468 nucleotides) under uncultured bacterium. RNAcentral describes it as "partial 16S ribosomal RNA". It matches the Rfam family "Bacterial small subunit ribosomal RNA", at positions 28 to 507 of the family's 1533-position model. The record is from RNAcentral.